Molecule: ribosomal RNA, 478 nt
Filed under: Penidiella columbiana
Lineage: Eukaryota; Fungi; Ascomycota; Dothideomycetes; Mycosphaerellales; Teratosphaeriaceae
Description: eukaryotic LSU rRNA
Rfam family: 5.8S ribosomal RNA (bases 157-310)
Source: RNAcentral
AUCAUUACCGAGUGAAGGGCUCCGGCCCGACCUCCAACCCUUUGUGAUUACCGAAACCUCGUUGCCUCGGGGGCGACCCGGCCUCACGGGCGGGGCCCCCGGCGGACCACUCAACCCUGCAUCUCUGCGUCUGAGUACAAUAUUGAAUUGAAUCAAAACUUUCAACAACGGAUCUCUUGGUUCUGGCAUCGAUGAAGAACGCAGCGAAAUGCGAUAAGUAAUGUGAAUUGCAGAAUUCAGUGAAUCAUCGAAUCUUUGAACGCACAUUGCGCCCCUUGGUAUUCCGGGGGGCAUGCCUGUUCGAGCGUCAUUACACCACUCAAGCCUGGCUUGGUAUUGGGCGUCGCGGCUCCCGCGCGCCUCAAUGUCUCCGGCGGGGUCGUCCACCUCUUAAGCGUUGUGACACAAUCUCAUCCGCUUCGGGAGUGUGGCCGGCUCGUCGCCGUUAAACAUUAUCUCAGGUUGACCUCGGAUCAGG